Molecule: long non-coding RNA, 2712 nt
Filed under: Homo sapiens (human)
Lineage: Eukaryota; Metazoa; Chordata; Mammalia; Primates; Hominidae
Description: HSALNT0381376
Source: RNAcentral
UGUCCCCCGCCGCCUGGCUCCUUCUCCCGCUCAGCUCAUAAUUAAGGCUGUGCGUCCGCUUCGCCGAUGACUCGGCCUGUGGAGGGGGGCGAGGGAGAGCGGAGGGAGUGCCCUGGAGGGUACCCAUGUUAACUUCCGGGUGCUGGUGGGGCCGUGGAGGCUCGGGCCGUCCCUGCGGUUACUCCCAAGGCCCUCCUGCUAAAGCACCCGGAGGCGGUUGCUUUCCAGAAGUACUGACGCAGACAGGGUGGACGCCGGCGCGCGGGUCUCCGCUUGGCCCCUAGGGACGCCCUUUUCCCGGCGUCCCCGAGAGACGCCUCCAGAUUUGAAAAUCAAUUCAGCUUCGGGAGUAAUUUCGCCCUUCCCACAGUCACGCUCCAAUCUGGAAUCGAACCUGGUCUUUGGGCCUGGUGGGGACGUGUGCGGAGGCCCCCAGUUUGAGACGUACACCCGGCCGCCACAUGCCGCGGCUUUCUUUCAUUUACAAAAGAAAGAAAAAAAAUCCGCAACAAAAGGCAGAGCCGUGUCCGCUUAGGUGCUUUCAUCCCUCAGAGAAAGGACAGAUGUGCCCAUUGUCCAGCCCGUGGCAGUUAUGGCCGGGUCAGCGCCGAGCCUCAGCCCCAGGCAAGCGGUGGUUACAAUGAGAAUAGCCUCUCAGAGCCGGGGUAUCUGGACUCAGAUAUGGAAUAAAGUGUGUGUAGCCUGUGCUGGGCCAGACUCAGACUGUAGGUUUGCUUGCUGGGGCACCGAACUGCAGCCCACCCGUGGUGUUUCCACUGCAAAUGCUCCCAAGCCCUUAGAGAGGCCAAGGCUGUGGUAGUGGUGGUAGUUGGGUUUCCAAGGCAAAAGUUUGGGCUGGCCAACCCUUUGGGAAAAGUUCCCACCGGCCCAGGCAUGAGUAGGCCUAUCUCUUUGCCCAGGUCCCUGCUACCACCAGGGCAACAUCCUAAUCCAGGUAGGUCAAGUUCAGUGGAUACAGUCAACGUGACUUCCUUGAAGGCGGCCAUGUCCUGGGACUGGUUAAUCUAGCUGGUUUUAUCACCAGAGGCACUCCCAUCCUGUCCAAACAAUGCAUAUGGAGGCCCUGCAAAUAAUUCAUCUCAAUGGAUUUCAUGUCUACUUUCAUAAUGAACAGUUAGGAAUUUAGGAACCCCCAGAGAAGAAAAGAUAUUUUAGGGAAAAUACACUGAUGUAAAGGAACUCAGAAAACACGAUUAACUCUUUAAACUUGUAUCUAUAUCUACCUAUUCAUACACGCAUACACACAAGCACAAAACAUAUAUUUCCUGCCUAGUAUAUUACAGUACCUUGGUGGAAAGCUGCAUCUUUGGUUUUUAAUUGUUUCCAUUCUCAUUUCCUACAGCAUGAGACCAAACAAUGGGUUAAAGUAGCAGGGAGUCUUUCAGCUAAACAGUUGUCCCCCCGCCCCCGCCCCAAUAUUUUAAUCCCGCUGAAGUGAUUGAUUUGCCCUUAUGACAACUAUCUUCCCAAAAGGCAGUUUGUUAAAAGAAAGAAAGAAGUAAAUACCACCAAGUGCACAAAUUGUUCAUGGUUUUCUCUUUGUGUAGCUAAUUAGGAACUUGAUCUUGGAAACCCUCCUUCAUGAGAGGCACUCAGCUGAGCCUCUGGAGUCCACCUGAAUAAGGCUGGCAUCAGUUUCCUCUGUUUUAUCUACUUCUUGCCCUUCCAUAUCCCAAAGAGAAGAUGCUCUGUCAAAGGGCUGUCAGCUGGUGCCAUCCGCAACUAACUCCACGUUCUGGGAGUUGCCGAGGGCUGCCUGGGCGGCCAUCCCAGGACACCAGACCACUCGGCUCGUAUCUCUGGUUACUUCCUGCGCUGGGGAAAAAAGAACACGCUUGCUCUCCUGGGUCCUCGGGUAAACUACAGGCGGCUUCUCCUGGGUUGGAAUCCGUUUUGGCGGUCGCCUAAUUCCGCGAGGGCUUUUUCACGGCUUCAAGCCAAGAGCGCUGAAGGGAGGAAAGGUAUACUGAUGCCGUAGGGCUGAGGGAGGGAUUCCAGGCUCCUGGGGUGUUCUUCUGCAGCAGGACCCCUCGCUGGCCGCUGCCAGCCCACUUCCGGAGGAGUUGGCCUCGUCUAGCCAACAGUUCAGUGGGAUUUCUUUCUUGGACAUAACUUCAUAUCAUUGAAAUAGUCUACAAAAGACACCAGCUCAAGCCGCGAGGGCGUUGAAUUGUCCGGAUUUGGGGUGGCGGUUAAUGCUCCUCUUCUGGUGCCUCCCCCGCUGGGGCCCUGCAUUCCAUUAGCCCCGCGCUGGGGUAGAGAUGCCAAGUUUAGGGGCUGGAGAGGACAAGGGGAAGGACGAGAGAACUCUUGCACCGACGGAUGUAGUUCCAAGCGACCCGAAAUGAGGAAAACCCAGAAGGGGCGGACGGAGGGCAAAGUCGGCCCAGGACGAUCUUCAGGCGCACCAUUCUCUCGCCCUGGAGGGACAGGGAAGGGCGGAAGCGGAGGGUGGCUGUCCAGCCGGGAGCCUCUGAUCCACGGGGCUUGGACCAGCCACCCCACCCGAGGGCGGCUGAGGACUGGGCGGCCGAGCUCGCGGCCCACUUAGCUAAUGCCGGGUAAUGCCGACCCCGGCCCAAGAGCAGCAGCUGCACUUGGGAAGGAAAACUCUUUAAACAAAUCAUUUUGGUGUCUAAUCAAUUAGUGUUUGCGCAGUCAAGUACCGUAGAUUUAACAGAAUAAUCGUUA